CAUAGGCUUUAGUAUAUCCCUUUGCAACCAGACGAGUUUUGUACCGUUCUAUAGUCCCAUCUGCUUUAUAUUUCACAUUAAAAACUCAUUUACAGCCAACUGGUCUCUUACUUUGUGGUAGCUCCACUACAUCCCAAGAUCCAUUUUUGCUUUUAUUUCUUCCAUCACUGCUUUUUUCCAUUUAGUAAUUUCAAAUGCUUCCUAAAUAUUUUUGGGAAUCUUUGUAUUAUCAAGGUUAGAGACAAUUUUGAAAUUGUGGAGAUAAAGUUUUGUAGGCUAUGAAUUUUGAGAUAGGAUGAAAAGUGCAUGAUCGUUUUGGUUUCCUUAGAGCAAUAGGUAAAUCACAAUUAGAUGACUUUGGAGAAAUUUCAUGAGGAUCUGGAUCUAUCACCGGUUCAUACUCUUUUGGUGCUUCGAGUGUGAGGUCGUCUUCCUUAUACUUUGAUUUUGGCUUUCUUGAAUAAACUAUCAUCUCUUUGUCAAGUCGUUCCUUCUGAUCUCCCCCUGAAUUCAAGUUGCUUUCUGUUGAUGGCAUAUUAGAACAGGCAGAUGGUUCAAGAUUUUGUAUCGAUUCAUAUUCAGAUGGGUUAAGGGAGAUUUCAAAAAAGCGAUCUUCGACUAUGUUCUCCCCCUGAGGAGAGGUUUUUUGAAAGAAGGGUUUUGUCACAAAGAAAGUGAUAUCAAGGCUAACAAUUACCCUUUUGUUGUUGGAUCAUAGCAUUUAUACCUCUUUUGUGUUGGUGAAUAUCCAAUGAAUACACAUUUGAGGGCACGUGGUUCGAGCUUAGUUCGACGAUGGGAAUGGAUGUGAACAAAGGUCGUGCAGCCAAACACUUUAAGGGGUAAGUUUGAGCUGAUGCGAGAGUAACGGAAAAAAUUUUGGAAUUUUUGAAGAGGGGUCUCAUAUUUGAGAAUGUGACUAGGCAUUCUGUUUAUAGGGUUGGUUGCUGUGAGAAUGGCAUCAUCCCAGAAGGUGGUAUGCAUGCUAGAAGUAAACAAUAGUGCUCGAGCCACCUCAAGGAUGUGUCUAUUUUUUCGUUCAGCAACUCCAUUUGUUGUGGAGUAUCAACGCAUGAGCUUUGGUGAAUUAUCCCAUUGUCUAAAAGGUAAUUGUUUAGAGUAUGAUUGAAAUAUUCUGUGUCAUUAUCUGUGCGCAGAAUUUGAAUUUUUGUUUGAAAUUGAGUUUGGACCAUUGAAUGAAAAUUUAUGAAUACAGAUUGGACAUCACUUUUUCUUUCAGCAUAUAAACCUAACAGAUUCGAGUAUGGUCGUCAAUGAAUGUAAUGAACCAUUUAGUGUGGGUGCAAUUGGGGGUUCGUGAAGGUCCCCAAAGGUCACUGUGAAUUAAUGCGACGAGUUUAGAUGAUUUGUAUGUGGAUUUUGGGAAUGGUGAGCGGUGAUGUUUUGCAAGUUCACAAGUUUCACAACUAAAAUCAAUAGAUAUUUUAUUCGAAAAUACUGAAGGUAAUACAUGUCUCAUAUAUUGAAGGUUGGGAUGACCCAAUCUAAAAUGCCAUAACAGAAUUUUACUAUCCCUAGGAACAAAUGCAGAAUCACAACUAACAAAUUGAUGUUGUUUACUCACAUCAGUUUCGUCAAAGUAGUAAACCCCCCCCACCCUCUUUAGCACUGCCAAUUGUCUUCCCCGAUGAUAGGUCCUGAAAAAUACAAUGAGAAGGAACAAAGUUAGCGGAACAGUUUAAGGUUUUUGUCAAUUUACUAAUAGACAAUAAAUUACAGGAUAAAUUUGGGACGUGUAGGACAUGAUUUAGUGUUAUUGAAUCAGAGAGUCGAAUACUCCCUUUUCCGAUAAUUGAGGAUAAAGAGUCAUCUACAAUUUUAACUUUAAGGUUGUCUGCACAUGGUGAGUAUGAAAGGAACAGGUGGUGGGAGUCCGUCAUAUGAUUGGACGCACCAGAGUCGAUAAUCCAAGGCACUUUAGAGAGUACCUUGGUGUUUAGGGCUUUCGAAAAAAUACCUUUGUGGGCUAGGGAGCUUGACGAAUUAGGUGAUUGAAAAUUUGAAAACAUUUUAUAGGGUUGUUCGAGUUGCUCUAGGUUGAAUGCACUGCUUGAAGUGGACUGUUGCGUGUCAUUAAUUGCAGCUUGAUAUCCAUGAUUUCUAGUAUUUUGUCUCGAUUUCCAGUCACUUGGUUUUUGGUGCAAAUCCCAACACGUAUCUUCUUUAUGUUCGGGUUUUCAACAGUGGUCACACCAUGGACGACUCUUUUGAUGUUUCGGGCCUGGUCCAAUUUUUGCCGGUUCCGUCAAACCCAACAGAUUUGGGCCCAUUAAAAAACGAUUUUUUAACAUUUGUAGCCAAACUAUCAGACCCACUAUCUAUUGGCCCAGUUGACUGUUAAGAUAGGGCCGAUCCUUCCAACCCAGCGAGUCCACCUUCCUUCUUCAUCAUAAUCAGUCGGCGACUUUCUUCUCGCCUCACUUCAACGAACACGUCACAAGUGGUGGGAAGCGGUCGGCGACCAAGAAUCCGACCUCUAACAUCAUCCAAUUCCCUGUUCAGUCCAACCAGAAAUUCAUCCACUCGCUCAUUCUCCAGCCGUUUCUUAUACUCGAUACAAUCACCGGCGCAGUUCCAUUCAUCUUCAAUACUCUGGUCCAAUUCUUGCCAUAAAGCUGUCAUCUCCAUGUAAUAGUCGGUGACAUCUCUCUCCCUUUGCUUCGAUUGCCACAACUUGGUUUUAAUCUUGAAGAUUUGCGAGAAAUUUUUAGCGUCGGAGUACAUCUCCCCGACUGCUUCCCAAAUGUCUUUUGCGGUGGGCAUGAAGAGAUAAAUUUUUCCAAUUUCGGGCGUCAUCGAGUUCACGAGUCAUGCCAUUACCAUGGAGUUUUUGGAUUUCCACCUUUUCUGAAGAUUCACGUCGGCGAUGGGCUGCUUCGUUUCUCCGGUGAGAUAACCUAACUUUCCUUUCCCAUCAAUCACCAAUUUAGUGGACUGAGCCCACUCCCUAUAGUUUCUCUCGUUGAGUUUCUCUACCGUUAAUUGGAAGGACAAAUUAUCAAUUCCAAUUGGACCCAUGGUGGGAGUAAUUUCGGUUUCACCUAUGGGAGACUCAGAUGUUGCCGAAUCCCUGCUCCAAUUUUUUCCGCCAUUGAUGGCUAGUUUUACUGUAAUUCCGGCUCCGAUACCAUGAAGAUUGGAUGACAGAAUUCCAAUUCUUUAUUAUAUUUUUCUUACAAUGGAAAAUUGUAAAUAUAUAAUACAAGGAGGAGGAAUAAAAAAGAAAAUAAUCUCCUAUCUAAGGAAAGAAGAAAUUAUUUCCUAACUAAUUUACAAUUAUACCAAAUAAAGAUAGAAACAAUCUUUCUAUAAUAAUUCUAUAAAAUUACGGGAUUUUUACAUUCCGUAUCAUUAAUAUGUACAUUAAUCUGUACACAAUGAUGUACAAUUUACGUUACUCUUAUUUAUUUGUUAUUUUUGCAGUUAUUCAGAUUUGCACUUUCCAGGGAUAUCAAGCAAUCUCUUUAUUGAUACUUUUGCAGCUACAGAAUGAUUUAUGGGUGAAGGAUGUUCUAGUUCCUGCAAUAAUGGUGAAUUUUCAAAUUAUUGCAAGAUUUCAUGCUUCGAGCUUCGGUAACAUGGCAAGACAGAUAAUAAAGUAGAUAAAACAUUUUGAUUACAAACUGGGUUCCUCUAAACUGACAUGCUUUAGAUUUCCUAUUGCAUAUGUUGAACACAUUUUGCUUUCCUUGCAUUUUUCAUAGCUUGUUUGGAAUGUCGCAGGUUAUCGUACUCUAUUUAUAAUUUACAUGACAAUUUUGUUUUCUCAAUAGCCUCUAAUUUACCUUCUGUGGUCAUUGGAAGGCUAGAUUGUUGGUUUUAUGCCUCGAGUCCAGUUAGCAUUGCAUAAGCAUUUGGCUUGCAUACAAAUCGACAAGCCAAUCUUGCUAAAGAUAUAUUUUUAUGUCAAAUAAAUUUCAUUUUUCAAUCACAAAAUGGAGUGGACGUACAAAUUUACCCAAAAAGUUUAUGGCCUUG
RNAcentral lists this long non-coding RNA (3999 nucleotides) under Olea europaea subsp. europaea. The record is from RNAcentral. Lineage: Eukaryota; Viridiplantae; Streptophyta; Magnoliopsida; Lamiales; Oleaceae.